This 1201-nucleotide long non-coding RNA is filed under the name Apteryx haastii (Great spotted kiwi). RNAcentral describes it as "lncRNA (ENSAHAG00000001583.1)". Lineage: Eukaryota; Metazoa; Chordata; Aves; Apterygiformes; Apterygidae. The record is from RNAcentral.
GUGUGCACGGGGUGUGUGUGUGUGCAUGCACGGGGGUGUGCGUGCAUGGAUGUGUGCAUGCACGGGGGUGCGUGUGCAUGCAUGGGGUGAGUGUGCAUGGAUGUGUGCAUGCACGGGGGUGCGUGUGCAUGCACAGGGGUGCGUGUGCAUGUAUGGGGUGAGUGUGCAUGGAUGUGUGUGCAUGCAUGGGGUGAGUGUGCAUGGAUGUGCGCGUGCAUGGGGUGUGUGUGUGCAUGGACAUAUGCAUGCACGGGGUGCGUGUGUGUGCAUGGGGGUGUGUGUGCAUGGACGUGUGCGUGCACAGUUUUGUGUGUGCAUGCACGGGGGUGUGUGCAUGGACGUGUGCAUGCACGGGGGUGCGUGUGCAUGGGCAGGAGCAUGCACUGUGUGUGUGCACAGUUGUGUGUGUGCAUGCAUGGGGGUGUGUGUGUGUGUACAGCUGUGCAUGGACGUGUGCAGGACUGUGUGUGCAAGCAGGGUGUGUGUGUGUGUGCACAGGCGUGUGCGUGCAGGGUGCAUGCGUGUGCACGGCUGUGCACGCAGGGUGUGCACGUGGAUGCGUGCAGGGCACGAGGGGGUGUGUGCACGUGUGCAGGGUGCGUGUGUGGGGCCGUGCAGGUCUGGGGCACGCGUGUAAGCGGGUGUGGGGCUGUGCAUGUGCUCGUGUGCGCACAGGGCUGCGUGCAUGUGCGUGCACAAGUGUGCGUGCAUGGAUGUGUGCGUGGCUCUGGGCGUGCAGGGCCGCGUGUGCACAUACGUGUCUAUAUGUGUGUGCAGGGCUGCGUGUGCACGCGUGGACAGGCGUGCACAGGACUCGGGCACGUGACGGGGCUGCGUGUGCACGGUCACGUGCGUGUGUGCACAGUCGCGUGCACACGUGUCCAUGUGCGGGGAUGCGCCUGGGCCUAGCCGUGUGCACACGUGCAUGGAAGUGUGUGUGUGUGCGUGGGGCUGCGUGUGCGCACGUGUGCGGGGCCCCUUGCACACGCAGGGGGUCGUGCAUGUGGUGCGAGGCUCCGCGUGUGCGUCCCCACGUGCGUGUGCCAGCAUGGGCACACGCGUGUGCAAGGGCCGUGCACACACCAGUGCACAGACCCCGUGUGCACGAGGGGGGUGUCAUGGGCGUGCGAGGACGGGGGGGACCCCAGCACCAACCGGGCCCCGACAGGGGAAACUGAGGCACCGCAGCGUCUGGGGGGGG